AUGAACGCUGGCGGCGUGCCUAAUACAUGCACGUCGAGCGCACGGACGAGAAGCUUGCUUCUCUGAUGUUAGCGGCGGACGGGUGAGUAACACGUGGAUAACCUACCUAUAAGACUGGGAUAACUUCGGGAAACCGGAGCUAAUACCGGAUGAUAUUUUGAACCGCAUGGUUCAAAAGUGAAAGACGGUCUUGCUGUCACUUAUAGAUGGAUCCGCGCUGCAUUAGCUAGUUGGUAAGGUAACGGCUUACCAAGGCAACGAUGCAUAGCCGACCUGAGAGGGUGAUCGGCCACACUGGAACUGAGACACGGUCCAGACUCCUACGGGAGGCAGCAGUAGGGAAUCUUCCGCAAUGGGCGAAAGCCUGACGGAGCAACGCCGCGUGAGUGAUGAAGGUCUUCGGAUCGUAAAACUCUGUUAUUAGGGAAGAACAUAUGUGUAAGUAACUGUGCACAUCUUGACGGUACCUAAUCAGAAAGCCACGGCUAACUACGUG
This 496-nucleotide ribosomal RNA is filed under the name uncultured bacterium. Its description in RNAcentral is "partial 16S ribosomal RNA". It matches the Rfam family "Bacterial small subunit ribosomal RNA", at positions 29 to 507 of the family's 1533-position model. The record is from RNAcentral.